AAUCUGCCUGACUCCUAAACCUGUACUCUCUUCUUACCAAGAAAGCCUUAAGGUUUCUAGUUUGGGAGACUACAAAGCUGAUUUUACUAUGAGCAGAGAGAGCAGCACUGAUAGAUGGAGAUGAAGAAAAUGGUCCCUUCUGUUUGAAUAUGCUGAGUUUGAGAUGAAGAGCUGGUUAAUUAUCAAUUUUUGUGAGAAAGGAAGGCUGUCCUCAUCUUUUGAAAGUCCUCCGAGCACAGCAGGCUAUGCAUGGUACGCCUCCAGUUUGUGAAAACAUCGGCAUCUGGAUGAACCCGACGAGUCAUCUGUGCCUUCUGCAUUGUGUCUCUGUGUGCCCUAAAACAGCACAAGCCAGCCACAAAUGAGUUCCUCUGCUCUGCCGCACACUCUUGCUGUGACCGGCAGCUUCUCCACAGACCUAAAGCCAAUAGGGCCAACCAUCCAUGACUGAAAUCUCCAAAACUGUGAGCCAAUGUCAUCCUUUUCUCUUUAUAAACUGAACAUGUUCAGGUUUCAUCCCAUAGGACUUGGAAGACAGAACAGAGCAGAAGUCCCCUUUGACAACUUUUGGCUACUUUCUGCUGAGGGCUGAGGCCCCCAGCCUCCUGGUAUCCAGGGCACUGGCAGGAGUGGCAGCUGCACCUUCCAGUCCCCAGGAUCUCAGUUGUGAUGGUUCAUUCUAGAACUGAGGGG
This 693-nucleotide long non-coding RNA is filed under the name Heterocephalus glaber (naked mole-rat). RNAcentral describes it as "lncRNA (ENSHGLG00000037211.1)". The record is from RNAcentral. Lineage: Eukaryota; Metazoa; Chordata; Mammalia; Rodentia; Bathyergidae.